RNAcentral lists this unclassified non-coding RNA (2104 nucleotides) under Drosophila yakuba. RNAcentral's name for it is "GE18252". The stretch from base 1198 to 1311 matches the Rfam family "Potassium channel RNA editing signal". Lineage: Eukaryota; Metazoa; Arthropoda; Insecta; Diptera; Drosophilidae. The record is from RNAcentral.
UUAGAGCCUUUGAUCCAGACAAUGACUUAUAUACCUAAAAAAAUGCAACACUAUGCGCAUGCAGCCAUGAAUCUGAUCAACAUGGACUCGGAGAACCGGGUGGUGCUCAAUGUGGGUGGCAUUCGGCAUGAAACCUACAAGGCCACACUGAAAAAGAUUCCGGCUACGCGAUUAUCGCGACUGACAGAGGCCCUGGCCAACUAUGAUCCGAUACUGAAUGAGUACUUCUUUGAUCGGCAUCCGGGCGUCUUCGCACAAGUGCUCAACUAUUACAGAACUGGAAAGCUGCAUUAUCCCACGGAUGUGUGCGGACCGCUGUUUGAGGAGGAAUUGGAGUUCUGGGGCCUAGACUCGAACCAAGUGGAGCCCUGCUGUUGGAUGACCUACACACAGCAUCGCGACACCCAGGAAACCCUAGCCGUACUCGAUCGUCUCGAUCUGGAUACGGAAAAACCGUCCGAGGAGGAACUGGCACGCAAAUUUGGCUUCGAGGAGGACUACUACAAAGGCACCAUAUCCUGGUGGCAGGAAAUGAAGCCGCGCAUUUGGUCCUUGUUCGAUGAGCCCUACAGUUCCAAUGCAGCCAAGACUAUUGGCGUGGUUUCGGUGUUCUUCAUCUGCAUUUCGAUCCUGUCGUUCUGCCUGAAGACCCAUCCCGACAUGCGGGUGCCCAUCGUCCGGAAUAUUACAGUGAAAACUGCGAAUGGAAGUAAUGGCUGGUUUCUGGACAAAACGCAGACCAAUGCGCACAUAGCCUUCUUCUAUAUCGAAUGCGUGUGCAAUGCCUGGUUUACCUUUGAAAUAUUGGUGCGCUUUAUCUCAUCGCCGAACAAGUGGGAAUUCAUCAAGUCAUCUGUUAACAUCAUAGACUACAUAGCGACGCUUAGUUUUUAUAUCGAUCUAGUGCUUCAGCGGUUCGCAUCGCACCUGGAGAACGCUGACAUCCUCGAGUUCUUCUCGAUCAUCCGCAUCAUGCGUCUGUUCAAGCUGACGCGUCACUCGUCCGGACUGAAGAUCCUAAUCCAGACGUUCCGUGCCUCGGCCAAGGAGCUAACCCUGCUGGUGUUCUUCCUUGUCCUGGGCAUCGUGAUCUUUGCCAGCCUCGUCUACUAUGCGGAACGCAUCCAGCCGAAUCCCCACAACGAUUUCAACAGCAUACCGCUGGGCCUGUGGUGGGCCCUGGUCACCAUGACCACCGUCGGCUACGGUGACAUGGCCCCCAAAACCUACAUCGGCAUGUUCGUGGGCGCCCUCUGCGCCCUAGCCGGCGUACUAACCAUCGCACUGCCAGUGCCCGUCAUCGUCAGCAACUUCGCCAUGUACUACUCGCACACGCAGGCCAGGGCCAAACUGCCAAAGAAGCGGAGACGAGUGCUUCCCGUCGAGCAACCGCGGCAGCCCAGACUGCCAGGUGCACCUGGUGGUGUCAGUGGCUGUGGCACCCCGGGCUCGGGUCCCCACUCCGGUCCCAUGGGAUCCGGCGGUACUGGACCACGUCGCAUGAACAAUAAAACCAAGGACCUGGUCAGUCCCAAGUCAGAUGAAUAUACAACAAUGAUUGGCAAACCGCGCGAUGGCAAAAAGAGCAGGCUGCUCUAAGCCAACAAACACAACAGCAACAACAUGAACCACGAUACGACAACAACCACAACCACAACAAAACCAGCUGAAGAACCAAUAUUCCCCCAAAUACCAUUACUUCCAAACUAGAACUUGCAAUGAGAGAUGAUGAUGAUAUUUUCCCAUAUAAGAAUUUGGCAAACUGAUCUAUCAGAGUAAACGAAGGAAAAGUUGAGAGAAACCGAAAACGCAACCCAAGGACUGGAUAAAGAUCAUAUAGCGGAUAUAGACCAUAUUGGAUCGUGGUACGUGGAUCGAAGGCACACUUUCUGGAUGCCAAAUAGCCAUAGAUACAUACAUAUAUGAAUACUCGUAUGGUUACUUUGAAUAUGGACGACGUCUGCUACUGAUAUCUACUGUCACUACUACCACUCCAACCUGCUAUAUAAUCGUAUAUAUAACUACAAUAUUUGCUCAACUUUUCGCAGGUCCGCUGGGCGCAAGCAUUGUGGCCAUGAGUCCCAGGACAAUGUUGGAUCUCAAU